GGAGGUAUCAGAAGUGCGAAUGCUGACAUAAGUAACGAUAAAGCGGGUGAAAAGCCCGCUCGCCGGAAGACCAAGGGUUCCUGUCCAACGUUAAUCGGGGCAGGGUGAGUCGACCCCUAAGGCGAGGCCGAAAGGCGUAGUCGAUGGGAAACAGGUUAAUAUUCCUGUACUUGGUGUUACUGCGAAGGGGGGACGGAGAAGGCUAUGUUGGCCGGGCGACGGUUGUCCCGGUUUAAGCGUGUAGGCUGGUUUUCCAGGCAAAUCCGGAAAACCAAGGCUGAGGCGUGAUGACGAGGCACUACGGUGCUGAAGCGACAAAUGCCCUGCUUCCAGGAAAAGCCUCUAAGCAUCAGGUAACAUCAAAUCGUACCCCAAACCGACACAGGUGGUCAGGUAGAGAAUACCAAGGCGCUUGAGAGAACUCGGGUGAAGGAACUAGGCAAAAUGGUGCCGUAACUUCGGGAGAAGGCACGCUGAUAUGUAGGUGAAGCGACUUGCUCGUGGAGCUGAAAUCAGUCGAAGAUACCAGCUGGCUGCAACUGUUUAUUAAAAACACAGCACUGUGCAAACACGAAAGUGGACGUAUACGGUGUGACGCCUGCCCGGUGCCGGAAG
This 615-nucleotide ribosomal RNA is filed under the name Escherichia coli. RNAcentral describes it as "partial 23S ribosomal RNA". It matches the Rfam family "Bacterial large subunit ribosomal RNA", at positions 1275 to 1875 of the family's 2925-position model. The record is from RNAcentral. Lineage: Bacteria; Pseudomonadati; Pseudomonadota; Gammaproteobacteria; Enterobacterales; Enterobacteriaceae.